RNAcentral lists this ribosomal RNA (1491 nucleotides) under Isoetes melanospora. RNAcentral describes it as "16S ribosomal RNA". It matches the Rfam family "Bacterial small subunit ribosomal RNA". Lineage: Eukaryota; Viridiplantae; Streptophyta; Lycopodiopsida; Isoetales; Isoetaceae. The record is from RNAcentral.
AGAGUUUGAUCCUGGCUCAGGACGAACGCUGGCGGCGUGCUUAACACAUGCAAGUCGAACGAUGAUGCCCAGCUUGCUGGGCGGAUUAGUGGCGAACGGGUGUGUAAUACGUGAGUAACCUGCCCUUGACUCUGGGAUAAGCCUGGGAAACUGGGUCUAAUACUGGAUACUACCUCUUGCCGCAUGGUGGGUGGUGGAAAGGGUUUUACUGGUUUUGGAUGGGCUCACGGCCUAUCAGCUUGUUGGUGGGGUAAUGGCUCACCAAGGCGACGACGGGUAGCCGGCCUGAGAGGGUGACCGGCCACACUGGGACUGAGACACGGCCCAGACUCCUACGGGAGGCAGCAGUGGGGAAUAUUGCACAAUGGGCAGAAGCCUGAUGCAGCGACGCCGCGUGAGGGAUGACGGCCUUCGGGUUGUAAACCUCUUUCAGUAGGGAAGAAGCGAGAGUGACGGUACCUGCAGAAGAAGCGCCGGCUAACUACGUGCCAGCAGCCGCGGUAAUACGUAGGGCGCAAGCGUUGUCCGGAAUUAUUGGGCGUAAAGAGCUCGUAGGCGGUUUGUCGCGUCUGCUGUGAAAGCCCGGGGCUCAACCCCGGGUCUGCAGUGGGUACGGGCAGACUAGAGUGCAGUAGGGGAGACUGGAAUUCCUGGUGUAGCGGUGAAAUGCGCAGAUAUCAGGAGGAACACCGAUGGCGAAGGCAGGUCUCUGGGCUGUUACUGACGCUGAGGAGCGAAAGCAUGGGGAGCGAACAGGAUUAGAUACCCUGGGUAGUCCAUGCCGUAGACGUUGGGCACUAGGUGUGGGGGACAUUCCACGUUUUCCGCGCCGUAGCUAACGCAUUAAGUGCCCCGCCUGGGGAGUACGGCCGCAAGGCUAAAACUCAGAGGAAUUGACGGGGGCCCGCACAAGCGGCGGAGCAUGCGGAUUAAUUCGACGCAACGCGAAGAACCUUACCAAGGCUUGACAUUCACCGGACCGCCCCAGAGAUGGGGUUUCCCUUCGGGGCUGGUGGACAGGUGGUGCAUGGUUGUCGUCAGCUCGUGUCGUGAGAUGUUGGGUUAAGUCCCGCAACGAGCGCAACCCUCGUUCUAUGUUGCCAGCACGUGAUGGUGGGGACUCAUAGGAGACUGCCGGGGUCAACUCGGAGGAAGGUGGGGAUGACGUCAAAUCAUCAUGCCCCUUAUGUCUUGGGCUUCACGCAUGCUACAAUGGCCGGUACAAAGGGUUGCGAUACUGUGAGGUGGAGCUAAUCCCAAAAAGCCGGUCUCAGUUCGGAUUGAGGUCUGCAACUCGACCUCAUGAAGUCGGAGUCGCUAGUAAUCGCAGAUCAGCAACGCUGCGGUGAAUACGUUCCCGGGCCUUGUACACACCGCCCGUCAAGUCACGAAAGUUGGUAACACCCGAAGCCGGUGGCCUAACCCCUUGUGGGAGGGAGCCGUCGAAGGUGGGACUGGCGAUUGGGACUAAGUCGUAACAAGGUAACCGUA